RNAcentral lists this ribosomal RNA (348 nucleotides) under uncultured bacterium. Its description in RNAcentral is "bacterial SSU rRNA". It matches the Rfam family "Bacterial small subunit ribosomal RNA", at positions 917 to 1264 of the family's 1533-position model. The record is from RNAcentral.
GGGCCCGCACAAGCGGUGGAGCAUGUGGCUUAAUUCGAUGCAACGCGAAAAAACCUUACCUACUCUUGACAUACUUGGAAGCUCUUGUAAUGAGAGUGUGCCUUUUGGAACCAAGAUACAGGUGCUGCAUGGCUGUCGUCAGCUCGUGUCGUGAGAUGUUCCGUUAAGUCGGAUAACGAGCGCAACCCUUACCCUUAUUUGCCAGCGAUUCGGUCGGGAACUAUAAGGGGACUGCCGGUGAUAAACCGGAGGAAGGUGAGGACGACGUCAAGUCAUCAUGGCCCUUACGAGUAGGGCUACACACGUGCUACAAUGCUACGGCAAAGGGGCAGCAAAGUUCGCGAGGAC